AGAAAUUUACGAAUGAAAUUUCGAUGGAUUUUGUAAAUGGAAAGCGGCGGACGGGUGAGUAACGCGUAGGUAACCUGCCCCAUACAGAGGGAUAGCCACUGGAAACGGUGAUUAAUACCUCAUAAAACUGAGAAUACACAUGUAUAUUCAGCCAAAGAUUUAUCGGUAUGGGAUGGACCUGCGUCUGAUUAGUUAGUUGGUGAGGUAACGGCUCACCAAGGCGACGAUCAGUAGCCGACCUGAGAGGGUGAUCGGCCACAUUGGAACUGAGACACGGUCCAAACUCCUACGGGAGGCAGCAGUGGGGAAUAUUGCACAAUGGGCGAAAGCCUGAUGCAGCAACGCCGCGUGAACGAAGAAGGCUCUUGGGUCGUAAAGUUCUGUUCUGAGGGAAGAAGAAAGUGACGGUACCUCAGGAGAAAGCCCCGGCUAACUACGUGCCAGCAGCCGCGGUAAUACGUAGGGGGCAAGCGUUGUCCGGAAUUAUUGGGCGUAAAGAGUACGUAGGCGGUUUGUUAAGCGCAAGGUGAAAGGCAUAGGCUCAACCAAUGUGAGCCUUGCGAACUGGCAGACUUGAGUGCAGGAGAGGAAAGCGGAAUUCCUAGUGUAGCGGUGAAAUGCGUAGAUAUUAGGAGGAACACCAGUGGCGAAGGCG
This 655-nucleotide ribosomal RNA is filed under the name uncultured bacterium. RNAcentral describes it as "bacterial SSU rRNA". It matches the Rfam family "Bacterial small subunit ribosomal RNA", at positions 60 to 723 of the family's 1533-position model. The record is from RNAcentral.